This 1101-nucleotide long non-coding RNA is filed under the name Cyanistes caeruleus (blue tit). RNAcentral describes it as "lncRNA (ENSCCEG00000019255.1)". The record is from RNAcentral. Lineage: Eukaryota; Metazoa; Chordata; Aves; Passeriformes; Paridae.
GCUGCUCCGGGGCUGCCGCUGCGGCGGGCGCGGGGAAGGUGAAGCUCUCCUUGCACGGCGCCAGGCGGGGAAGGGCAGGGCUGGGGCUUGCGAGGGAUGACGACACUGGCUCGGUUCCUCUAGAAGGGGAGAGCUCCCUGCUCGGGGAAGUUUAGUGACCCACUCGGUCACCACUCGGUGGUGGCGGCGACUUUGGUUUGGGGAGGAAAAGAAAGCGAGGAUGGAGUCCUAAACUUCAGCAGCUGGGUUUUCCCUCCCGGCUGUGAAAUCCCGGCGCCUCGGAUGAUGGCAGGUGACAUGUUUGGAUGAAUUAGCAUCAGGAAUGAGAAGUUUUGUUCUCCUGGUCUAUCUGUGGAGCAUAUGGGCACCUUUUCCUGCUCUAGAGCUAAGUGAGCUAUGUGCUUAAAGAUGUCCAUAUGUCAAUUCUGUGCUUCCCUGAUUGUGGUUAAAAUGAGCCUGAAGGUGACUGUGGGUUGAAUGGGUAGGCUAUAAAUGCAGGCCUAGAAAAUUUCGUGCUUGUUGCAGAAAUUGUAUGAAAUUCUUAGCUGUGCUACCAGUCAAAAGUUGCCUGUGCUUGUACAAAUCUGUGUUGUAAUACUUAGUAGCUUUCUGUUUCUGAGUUGAUACCUGGUUUUCUUAGCGUCGUAGCUGUUUGAAAAACUUUAUAUUCUCAUACAUUAAGCCAGGAGAAGAGUAGAUGCAGAUUGAAGGUGGGGUUGGGUUUGGUUUGGUUUGGGUUUUUUUUAAUAUAUUUUUUUAAACGUCCCUAUCAACUAAUACAUGAGUGCCUUUUUGGUUCUUAGAAUCUCUGCUUUUUUAAAACAUACUAUGAUUUAAUUAAUUUCUUGUUGCCUGAGACCUGGAAUGAAGUGAAUUUAAUGCUUGAAUUUAAAACUAGUCUGUGAGAAUAACAGCUUCUUUGUAACAUGGGAUUUAAUUCAAAAUCUGUCAUAAUCCCCAGAACUUCAAGAGGUGACAUUAUUCCUUUCAACUAAAUUCAGUUACUGAUUUUUGACUUAAUGUAAAGAUGAACUGUUCCCAGGAGAUGAAAAAGAAGAAGUAGGAAAUAAAAGGGUGAUGUAACUGUGCUGAGAUAAAUCA